Molecule: ribosomal RNA, 359 nt
Filed under: Ototyphlonemertes duplex
Lineage: Eukaryota; Metazoa; Nemertea; Enopla; Monostilifera; Ototyphlonemertidae
Description: partial 16S ribosomal RNA
Rfam family: Archaeal large subunit ribosomal RNA
Source: RNAcentral
UUUCUGCUCGGUGUUUGUUAACAGCCGCGGUAAUUUGACCGUGCAAAGGUAGCAUAAUCAUUUGCCUUGUAAUUGAGGGCUGGAAUGAAUGAAGUAACAAGGGCUUUACUUUAUUAAAAAAAGUUAUUGAAUUUUCUGUCUUAGUGAAGAAGCUAGGAUAAUAAAGGGGACAAGAAGACCCUUUCGAGCUUUACUAGUUUUCCUUUUGGCUUACUCUAGUUUGGUUGGGGCGACCUAGGAAUAUCUUCCUUUAGUAUUUUGAUCCACAGUUUGUGAUUAAAAGAGCAAGUUACCGAAGGGAUAACAGCGUAAUUUUCUUUGAGAGCUCUUAUUAAAAAGAAAGAUUGCGACCUCGAUGU